ACCAACAGGGAUCUGCCUAGUAACGGCGAGUGAAGCGGCAAAAGCUCAAAUUUGAAAUCUAGUACCUUCGGUGCUCGAGUUGUAAUUUGAAGAUGGUAACUUUGGAGUUGGCCUUUGUCUAUGUUCCUUGGAACAGGACGUCACAGAGGGUGAGAAUCCCGUCUGACGAGGUGAUCCAGCUCUAUGUAAAGUGCUAUCGAAGAGUCGAGUUGUUUGGGAAUGCAGCUCUAAGUGGGUGGUAAAUUCCAUCUAAAGCUAAAUAUUGGCGAGAGACCGAUAGCGAACAAGUACAGUGAUGGAAAGAUGAAAAGAACUUUGAAAAGAGAGUGAAAAAGUACGUGAAAUUGUUGAAAGGGAAGGGUAUUAGAUCAGACUUGGCGUUUUAUGAUUAUCUUCCCUUCUUGGGUUGUGCACUCGUAUUGCGCUGGGCCAGCAUCGAUUCGGAUGGCAGGAUAAUGGCAAUUGAAUGUGGCAUCCACUUCGGUGUAUGUGUUAUAGCUUUUGUUGAUGCUGCCUAUCUGGAUCGAGGACUGCGUCUUUUGACUAGGAUGUUGGCGUAAUGA
RNAcentral lists this ribosomal RNA (563 nucleotides) under Taiozyma rabaulensis. Its description in RNAcentral is "eukaryotic LSU rRNA". It matches the Rfam family "Eukaryotic large subunit ribosomal RNA", at positions 64 to 637 of the family's 3401-position model. Lineage: Eukaryota; Fungi; Ascomycota; Saccharomycetes; Phaffomycetales; Wickerhamomycetaceae. The record is from RNAcentral.